GGUCUUUCAGUCGUUUGCUCCCAGGAGUUCUGGGCUGUAGUGCACUAUGCCGAUCGGGUGUCCGCACUAAGUUUGGCAUCAAUAUGGUGACCUCCCGGGAGCGGGGGGCCACCAGGUUGCCUAAGGAGGGGUGAACCGGCCCAGGUCAGAGA
Myotis myotis is the source of this 152-nucleotide long non-coding RNA. RefSeq lists it as uncharacterized. The record is from RefSeq and is a predicted model, not a curated record. NCBI's taxonomy places the organism in Eukaryota, Metazoa, Chordata, Mammalia, Chiroptera, Vespertilionidae. The transcript has 3 exons.